CAUCAGGGAAUUAAUCCAUGUCAUCACACAAAGAAGGGCACACACUCUACCAGGUGUGGACUGGGAGCUUGAAUCUUAACCUUGUACAUGGUUGCUUAGGGAUACAGAUCUAGACUAUCAGUGUGCUGGAUUGCUGGCGUCAGAAUAUACCCCUAAACAGAGUAUGUGCUGUGCGUGAAGCAUCUGUGCAAGGAUUUUCAAUGCUAACAAUUGCCCACACGGAGGAGUUUGAGCAGAAGUGGGAGAGACUAUUCUAGAACCUGUACAUUUGAAAUUUAGUCAUGUCAGUCAAUUAUCUAAUCAAAGAACACAAGAGAAUGUUGGUCUUUUCAUGUCAGUCACGUGUCUGAAUGUAAAGCUAUAAAUCCAAUUUUUCUCAGUAUCACCUAGCCAUGUCAUAAUUUUAUGUAUGCAUUGUUUUUAAAAUCCCAAGAAACUUGAGCAUGUCCAAUAUAACUUAAAUUUUCUCCCUC
Molecule: long non-coding RNA, 473 nt
Organism: Erinaceus europaeus (western European hedgehog)
Lineage: Eukaryota; Metazoa; Chordata; Mammalia; Eulipotyphla; Erinaceidae
Exons: 3
Source: RefSeq, a predicted model, not a curated record